GCCGAUUGGCUCAGUCGGUUGAGUGCCAGCAUGGUGUGCUGGCGGUCGCGGGUUCGAUUCCCGGUGGAGUGAAAACUGGCG
Molecule: transfer RNA, 81 nt
Filed under: Pythium insidiosum
Lineage: Eukaryota; Oomycota; Peronosporomycetes; Pythiales; Pythiaceae
Description: tRNA-Thr
Rfam family: tRNA (bases 7-65)
About the family: Transfer RNA (tRNA) molecules are approximately 80 nucleotides in length. Their secondary structure includes four short double-helical elements and three loops (D, anti-codon, and T loops).
Source: RNAcentral